UACGGAGGGAGCUAGCGUUGUUCGGAAUUACUGGGCGUAAAGCGCACGUAGGCGGCUUUGUAAAUUAGAGGUGAAAGCCCGGGGCUCAACCCCGGAAUUGCCUUUAAGACUGCAUCGCUUGAAUCCAGGAGAGGUGAGUGGAAUUCCGAGUGUAGAGGUGAAAUUCGUAGAUAUUCGGAAGAACACCAGUGGCGAAGGCGGCUCACUGGACUGGUAUUGACGCUGAGGUGCGAAAGCGUGGGGAGCAAACAGG
RNAcentral lists this ribosomal RNA (253 nucleotides) under uncultured bacterium. Its description in RNAcentral is "partial 16S ribosomal RNA". It matches the Rfam family "Bacterial small subunit ribosomal RNA", at positions 524 to 776 of the family's 1533-position model. The record is from RNAcentral.